CGCGGCCUAUCAGCUUGUUGGUGAGGUAAUGGCUCACCAUGGCUUCGACGGGUAGCCGGCCUGAGAGGGUGACCGGCCACACUGGGACUGAGACACGGCCCAGACUCCUACGGGAGGCAGCAGUGGGGAAUAUUGGACAAUGGGCGGAAGCCUGAUCCAGCAACGCCGCGUGAGGGAUGACGGCCUUCGGGUUGUAAACCUCUUUCAGCAGGGACGAAGCGCAAGUGACGGUACCUGCAGAAGAAGCACCGGCCAACUACGUGCCAGCAGCCGCGGUAAUACGUAGGGUGCGAGCGUUGUCCGGAAUUAUUGGGCGUAAAGGGCUCGUAGGCGGUUUGUCGCGUCGGGAGUGAAAACCAGGUGCUUAACACCUGGCUUGCUUUCGAUACGGGCAGACUAGAGGUAUUCAGGGGAGAACGGAAUUCCUGGUGUAGCGGUGAAAUGCGCAGAUAUCAGGAGGAACACCGGUGGCGAAGGCGGUUCUCUGGGAAUGACCUGACGCUGAGGAGCGAAAGUGUGGGGAGCGAACAGGAUUAGAUACCCUGGUAGUCCACACCGUAAACGUUGGGCGCUAGGUGUGGGGUCCAUUCCACGGAUUCCGUGCCGCAGCUAACGCAUUAAGCGCCCCGCCUGGGGAGUACGG
Molecule: ribosomal RNA, 643 nt
Filed under: soil bacterium TWE19
Lineage: Bacteria; Bacillati; Actinomycetota; Actinomycetes
Description: bacterial SSU rRNA
Rfam family: Bacterial small subunit ribosomal RNA
Source: RNAcentral